RNAcentral lists this ribosomal RNA (217 nucleotides) under uncultured prokaryote. RNAcentral describes it as "partial 16S ribosomal RNA". It matches the Rfam family "Bacterial small subunit ribosomal RNA", at positions 524 to 740 of the family's 1533-position model. The record is from RNAcentral.
UACGGGGGGGGUAAGCGUUGUUCGGAAUUACUGGGCGUAAAGGGCGCGUAGGCGGCCUUCUAAGUCGAACGUGAAAUCCCCGGGCUCAACCCGGGAACUGCGUCCGAGACUGGAAGGCUCGAAUCCGGGAGAGGGAUGUGGAAUUCCAGGUGUAGCGGUGAAAUGCGUAGAUAUCUGGAGGAACAUCGGUGGCGAAGGCGGCAUCCUGGACCGGUAU